CAUUAUACCACGGGUGGGGCGGGCAGAAGAAAAUCCCAUGAGUUGGAGAUGUGUACUGUAAGCUCAGAGUAGAGUGGCAAAAGGAGAAGACUGAUGAGCUGACCAAAGAGAGAGACUAUCAAAAAGUGCAACUGGCAUCAGUUCUUAACAGAGGGGGCACAAGUUCCAUCCAGGUGACGCCCUUGUCUUCAAUUCCCUCCAGUGACAACUCAGACGAAUCUUCCUCUGAUACUAUGUCUGAAUCCUUCUCCUCAUCAGAAGGGAACAGAAAGAAGAUUAGAUUAGAUUAGAUUAGAUUAGAUUAGAUUAAACUUUAUUGUCAUUACACAUGUACACAUGAUAAAAGAAGAGGAUGAAAAGGAAGGGAAAAGGAAAAAAGCAUGGGAAAACGUCAAAGAAUAUUGAAGCAAAGUCACGUCACAGAGAUCAACAUCCACAGCAAGUGGUGGUCCGAUACAAAACAAUUCUUUGCCACUCCAGUAGUACAGCGUACGCCAAAAAUAUUCUUGAUUUAUAAAACCGUGCGUACACACACCUCUAAGCAAUGUUUCCUUUAUAAAUCACAGAUCACUCGCAGAUGUGCAUACGUGAACCAGCCUCAUAUCCCGCCCUGUACAUUCCCAUUUUUAUCCAUAAAUAGUCAAUGCAAAUCACUGCGCGGGCACGAGAGUGGACCUCGUUAUAAUGAGUUUCCUCUGUGCUCUGCAGGUUUAAAAAGGGGGUGAGGAGGCAGCGUCUCAGGGGGUAGCCACUGUCGCCUGCAGGUUAUAAUUAUAUUAAAAGCAACAUUGUUAUAAUAAUAUUAAAAACAAAAUUGUUACAGUUUCUACUUUUUAAUAUCGUUAAACUCA
Molecule: long non-coding RNA, 851 nt
Organism: Tachysurus fulvidraco (yellow catfish)
Lineage: Eukaryota; Metazoa; Chordata; Actinopteri; Siluriformes; Bagridae
Exons: 3
Source: RefSeq, a predicted model, not a curated record